This 492-nucleotide ribosomal RNA is filed under the name uncultured bacterium. RNAcentral's name for it is "partial 16S ribosomal RNA". It matches the Rfam family "Bacterial small subunit ribosomal RNA", at positions 29 to 507 of the family's 1533-position model. The record is from RNAcentral.
AGUGAACGCUGGCGGUAGGCCUAACACAUGCAAGUCGAACGGCAACACAGUAAGAUCUUGCUCUUACGGGUGGCGAGUGGCGGACGGGUGAGGAAUACAUCGGCAUCUACUUUUUCGUGGGGGAUAACGUAGGGAAACUUACGCUAAUACCGCAUACGACCUACGGGUGAAAGCAGGGGAUCUUCGGACCUUGCGCGAUUGAAUGAGCCGAUGUCGGAUUAGCUAGUUGGCGGGGUAAAGGCCCACCAAGGCGACGAUCCGUAGCUGGUCUGAGAGGAUGAUCAGCCACACUGGAACUGAGACACGGUCCAGACUCCUACGGGAGGCAGCAGUGGGGAAUAUUGGACAAUGGGCGCAAGCCUGAUCCAGCCAUACCGCGUGGGUGAAGAAGGCCUUCGGGUUGUAAAGCCCUUUUGUUGGGAAAGAAAAGCAGCAGGUUAAUACCCCGCUGUUCUGACGGUACCCAAAGAAUAAGCACCGGCUAACUUCGUG